ACUCCUGCGGGAGGCAGCAGUGGGGAAUUUUGGACAAUGGGCGAAAGCCUGAUCCAGCAAUGCCGCGUGAGUGAAGAAGGCCUUCGGGUUGUAAAGCUCUUUUGUCAGGGAAGAAACGGUGAAAGCUAAUAUCUUUUGCUAAUGACGGUACCUGAAGAAUAAGCACCGGCUAACUACGUGCCAGCAGCCGCGGUAAUACGUAGGGUGCAAGCGUUAAUCGGAAUUACUGGGCGUAAAGCGUGCGCAGGCGGUUUUGUAAGUCUGAUGUGAAAUCCCCGGGCUCAACCUGGGAAUUGCAUUGGAGACUGCAAGGCUAGAAUCUGGCAGAGGGGGGUAGAAUUCCACGUGUAGCAGUGAAAUGCGUAGAUAUGUGGAGGAACACCGAUGGCGAAGGCAGCCCCCUGGGUCAAGAUUGACGCUCAUGCACGAAAGCGUGGGGAGCAAACAGGAUUAGAAACCCCAGUAGUCC
RNAcentral lists this ribosomal RNA (469 nucleotides) under uncultured organism. Its description in RNAcentral is "partial 16S ribosomal RNA". It matches the Rfam family "Bacterial small subunit ribosomal RNA", at positions 335 to 796 of the family's 1533-position model. The record is from RNAcentral.